AUGUUCUGUUUUGGAGGAGAAAGAAGACAUGAGUCUUUCAGAGUUGUAAAAACAUAUAAAUGUCUCCAUUAACAGCACAACAGACACAUGAACAGGACAUGGACUCCAAAGAUGAAGGUCCUUCUCCACUGAUCAUGAUCCCUGUUGCAACUGAAGAGGACAAGCACUUACCCGACAUCCAAGCCCCUGGAAGAACAACACUCACACAACACACCUCGGUGUGUGCGCUAAACUUGAAUUGUCCCCAAAUAGGACUUAUACCCUUUAUCUUGGUGAUAAAGGAGCUAUUUUCUAGGCACUUGGGACCUGAGGCCUGAUUCCCGAUGCGAGCCUGCAGCUCCUGUUGACCUGAAACGCUGAGAUGCAGUAACUCCUGAGCUCUACCCAUAUAAAAUAUACCUCUCUGAGGAGAAAAAAGGAAACACAGCCCCGUGUAGGAUUUCCUUCCCUGGCUGCACAGCAGCACCAGGUCCUGAGCUUUGGCUUGACGUCAUGAAGGUUGUUGUAGCAGUAGUUCUGUGUCCUGGUAUGGAGAUCAUCCUGGAAAAGUCAAAAUCUCUCCACCUCAGGCCCAGAGGAGCUUUCCUUCACCAACAGCUCACAAUAUUCAGUCCUUUUCCACCAUCACUCCCAAGUCUCUGAAACCUUCCAUGUGAAUGAGGGAAUGCUCAUGGACUUCCCAUCCCUAAUUUUAGAUGAUGGUCAAUGCAUGCAUGGAGUGCUGCUGGAAGGGGAUGAUGGAUUCACCUGAUGUACGUAGCCGUGGUCCAGCCAAAAAAGUUUGUUACUAGCAUAGCUGUUUUCUGAUCUAACAUUUAGUUGUAAUUACUCCUGGUCAAACAGAUAAAGAGAUAAUGACAUUCUGAUAGAAGAAAUAGUUGAGACACAAAAAAAACAUGUUUAAGGUAAAUUUCAGACUAUAAUUUCACUCCAAUACGUUCGGUUAUUUGGAAAAUAAAAUAAAGCAGCACACGACAAGCUGCCUGCUGAACCUGCACAGCUGCUAUUAAACACGGGGGAUGGGAAGCUGCCAAAACUGAGAUUUGUAGCUUGAAAAUGAUGAGGCAUUUUCUGACAGCUGCCUCCCUGUGCUGCUGUCAGGAUUCCUCCUGCCCACAAGAUGGCAGGCAGAGAUCAGCCUGCUCCUGGGACAACUGCAAACCAGAGCUGCUGAGAACAGAAAAGCCAACCUCUGCUCUACUCCCGCACUACUGUGAUUGGAAUUCGGCUGUACCACUCUUUGCAGUGCUGUGAACACAUACUGCACCCUCAGUGUGUUCUUGAGCUAAGAUCUGUACAAAGGUUCAAACGCAGUAAUUAAUUUGAAUGCUUUAUCCAGCUAACAGAUGCUCUGCAGAUCUGAGUAAUCGAUUAUUAUUAUAACCUGAUAACAAUAAUAAAUGAGCAAGGCAAUGACAGCUGACGGUGCAAAACAAUUCCAACACAGGAGGCUGCUGCUGGACAUUUUAAGGGUGACCUGCAUGGAUUUUCUCCUUCAUUAUGGCUCAGAAGAAAGACAGGCUUGUUUGCCUACUUCUACUUGCUUCUGAUUUAUUUCUUAGCCUGAGUACCUAAGUCCCAGCGGAGACCAGUGCCCACAGCCCUGUGCCCGUGCCUGAGUACACCACUGCUGCCCAGAGGGGACCAUGGAGAGGUGUCAGAUGGAUGGAGCUGGAGCGAGAAGAAGCACCUACCUCUGCGCAAGGCUCGCAGGUGCUGCUUGGCGUGGUGGUGCAGCUCCUCCACGCAAGGAGGUCUGGUGGAGGGGAGGAAGAUGUUUCUUUGCUGAUGCCAAGGUGCUCGGUAAUAGACACUCAGUUUGCUCUCUGCAUCCAGGUUGGAGACAGCUGUAGGAUAAAAACAGAAUACAGGGUAAGACUCCUAGCCUCUCUUAUAUCAACCUAGCUGAAAAGAAAAGGCUCUCGCUUGGAAGACCAGUGCCAAGAACUGGCACUGGUGAUGAUACAGCACCUCUCCUCCCACCAAAUCAGAGCAACCACUAUCUUCUUCGUAUUUCCAUACCACACUAUAUCAUUUAGCCUUUAGACAAUGCCCUUUUGUCAGAUUGAAAAUAGGUCUCUGGAGGAAAUGCUACUAUAUCGAUGUGAAAUACGUGGACUAAACAGAUAAUCAUUUUAUAGGCAGCAAAAUGAAAAUGCAAAGAAGCUGCGCAACCUUCCCACAGUGAUGUUUCAAGCAAGAGCAGAGGGUGGAAUAGGUCUCCCAUUUACCUCUUCUCCUGCCAAUAUGCUCUUUCACUACAUCAUGUUAUGCACGACUAAUUUCUGACACAGGUUGCUAGCCUGUUGCCUUCCAGGGUAUAAUGACUGAGAUUAACUGCCCACCCUGCUGAGUGACUUUAACUGUCAUCUAUCAAAAGAGGUUCCCUUAAUAGAGAUGGACUUCUGAGGUUCAGGAACACUUCCAUUCCUCCACAGAGAAAUCCCGGAAGUCUGCCUCUGAAAAUUAAAUGAACCAAGUCCACUAAAGGUCUGAGAGAAUUUCUCAGGGGAGAUGUUCCCAACCUCAGCGUAUGCAGGAGCCAGAUUUCCAGGGGCCAAAGCAGGAAAAGAGGGCUAUGGGGGGUGCCAGGGAUCUGCUGUGGUUGGCAGAGUGGAGCAGGCUUGUUACACCUGUGCUCAUCAACCUACGUAAAGCAGCAAGAGCACAGGGUAUGUCCUCAGCUACAGCACUGGGCUUGCUCCUUCUUCUACAGAAUCAUAGAAUGUCCUAAGUUGGAAGCGACCCACAAGGAUCAUGGAGUCCAACUCGUGUCCCUGCAUAUGACAACCCCACAGUUCACACCAUGUGUCUGAGGGUGUUGUCCAGUCUCUUCUUGAACACUGUCAGGCUUGGGGCCGUGACACCUCCCUGGGGAGCCUGUUCCAGUGCUCCACCACCCUCUGGGGGAAGAACCUUUUCCUCAUGUCCAACCUAAACCUCCCCUGGCACAUCUUCCUGCCAUUCCCUCAGGUUCUGUCAUUGGUCACUAAAGAGAAGAGAUCAGCACCUGUCCCUCCUCCUCCCCUUGUGAGGCAGCUGUAGACCGAGAUGAGGUGUCUUCUCAGUCUCCCCUUCUCCAGGCUGAACAAAGGCAUUGAUACAGUCUCUCCAGUCAUCUCCUCUUCCAAUGCCAAGGAGCUGCUGCACCUGUUUUGCUUACAGGACAAGGCAGCGUGAUGUUGGCAGGGUCCCUCACACACGGGAGGAAGGGUAGUGGAGGUGCCUCCUGGAGUUCCCUUCCCAGCAAGGAGCUAAACAGCCAGCGUGCCUUGGGUUGGUGCCUCCACCAGCCAUGUGCUCCUCUCCUUUGCCCUCAUCUCUCUCAAGCAGGGCAGUACACCCUGGCCCUGCUCUCCCUAGCACAUCCCCUCUCUGGCAAGAGAGCUAGAGCAGAGGUGGCUUCAAUCUCAAACGGUCCUGUGCAAUGCUGAUGGCCGGAGCCCUCCUACACAGAGAGCAUUACCAGGGAUUUGUAACUCUGUGUUAGAGACCAGCCUGUGUGUCAGACCCCUCCUCCAGCACCUGCCUUGCUCACUGAGAUGAUGGGUAUUUUGUGUCUGGGCUCGUCCCUUACAUUGUUUUUAUUGCUCCAAGCAAGCACAGCCCCCAGCCCUUGUCCAGCAGGGCCAUCACCACUUCCAUGAGAGAAGAAGGGACAUGCUGCUGUCAAGGCACACCACCAAGAGGGAAGCUAAGCCAGAGAAAAGGGUUGGUGAUGAAACAUCUGCAGCAGUAUGUUGUCUCCAAUCAAGGAGCUUGCACUUUUCGGGGCUUUCUCCCAUCUACUUCCAAUGCAUUUGCGCUCUCCAAUCUUCAGCAGUAGUUGCCCUUUUUUGAAGGGGAGUCAGUGCAACAUGUCAGAGAGCUGCUUGGAGGUUUUGCUUUUUCUGGUUUUAUUGCUUUUUUUGAUGCAAAACAACAUUCACCUGGGCCAAAGGCAUACCAGUGUGCUUUGUAUAGAGAAACGAACGGGGAAAGUAUUGUAGGAGAAGAAGGAGGAAGCAGACACAAAGGGAGAAACCCAGGAACCAUUCUGCCAUGUGUGGGAUGCUAUUCUUUAAUAAGAAAAAAAUCCAGUUCACAACACUUUGUGGAUGUCAGGAUGAAAGUGGUGGUAUAAUAUGGUGAUAGACCUGCUGAAGUUCAGGUUCUCAGAGCUUCAGCACCACUGAAGCGACCUCGAACUCCCUGUCCAGUAGGGAGCCUUACUUUGCCUCUCAGUGGGUUUUUGCAGGUGGGUUUCACUCUAUGUUUGUAGUGCUGCUCUAUGCAACUGGCCACAGUGUCAGUGCAAGGAACAGCAUCAGGGUGAGAAAAAAAAUGAUUGAUAGUGGGGGUGUCUGUAGUAUGAAUGACAGCAACCUCUAGGUGUUCAUAAUGAGGAUUUACUUACUAAAUGAUAGACACUGUAAUAACGUAAUGUUGCCAAAUCUCAAGCAGAGCUUUUGAUAGCUUGUCUGUCUGUCACCACUGCAGUAGGUGAAUAUCUCACCAUCAUUAGCUGAUUUUCAUAUUUCCUUUACCCCUUGAGGGCAAGGAAGCACUAUGUCUAUUUUACAGACAACAUACUGAAACACAAAAUAAAGUGCCUCAAUCCUGUUCUGAGCUGCACUGUCUCCUUGGGAAGCUCAUCUCAGGACAAAAAUUUACAAGUGAUAGUAAUGAUACCCCACCCAUUCUUUAUAUUGCUGAGGGUAUGUGAUAUUCAUGAUCACAAAUUGUACCCCGGAGGCUAAUGAAAUGGCAGGCACAAGCAGUUCCUUCCUACUCCCAGAAAAAAAUCUGUCUAGACUGCAGCUCUAGUAUUUCUCUGUGAUGAAGCUCAGUAAGUGAGUGGAAAGUUUUAUCUGCUUGUCAAAUGUUCACAUGUUUCAUUAGACUAGAAUAGAUUUUGCUGCAAAAUUUAACUUGUAGAAAGCUCUUCUCACUUUGGCAGCAGUGUUUCACAAAUAAGAAGAGUGGGAGUUGGGUUACUAUACUUUGUGUGAGACUUAAAAAUGAAACCUAGCUAAAGCAAUUCUACUACACAGUUACGGUUGUAGACACACAUUGCUCUUCGGAGUUAUUACUAAAAUAGCAUGACCUCUUAGCCAUCCAAGUCUCCCUUAGCUGGCAAACCUGGCAGAGCUGUGCAUAGUGCUGUACCAAAGGAAAAAUAAAGCACAAUUACAUUGCUUAUCUUCAAAUGAUAGGGCACUAAGAAGCUUCCAGUACCCUGUGCCAUGGCCCCAGCCAGUGCACAUCCGAACCUUCUCACCUUCUCCUGCAGUAACUCUGAAUUGCUGUGUUGGAGAAUACGCCCCACUAAUACCAAGAAAGCAGAAAUAUUGCACAAUACACAGAACAGAACAGUCCUGUAGAAUACUUAAAGACAGGAGUGGAUUUUCUAGGCAGUCCAGAAUAGAAACUAAAAGAGCUGGUGAAAAAGCUGCAAGGAGAUGAAUAGUCAGCCUGUGGUGGGGGAGAAGCUCAGAGGGAGGCAGAAGCACUGGGUAGGGUAGAGGACAAUGCUGGCCCAAGGACAAAUAAGUAUAAACCCACCACAAAUGCAAUUAGGCUGGAUGUUUGAAGAACAGCAUCCCAACCUCUGGGCAGAGAAGCUCUAGAAAAACUUCCCGGAAAACAGAAAGAGGGAGAAAGAAGCUCACUGGUAAAUGAGUGAGCCUGCACCCUUUCUGAAGGGGAUUUCCAGAUGUGAUUGUCUGUCAAAAGUGGGACCCGCUUCUACUUCAUUCCUUGCACAUUGUCCUUUGCACCAUUGCUGGGAGCUGAAGCCAGAGGAUGCAAUUACAGGAGUGGACUGUGGGCUUUCAGGACCACUGAACGUCUGAUUUUCUGCACAGGGCUGCAUCUCUCACCUCCACUAAAAAUAAAAAAAGCCAUCCUUGUGGCAAGGUUAUUCAAACACCACUGGGCUGAGAUCCAGAAGACCUGUUCAGUCAAAGCUUCACCAUCUACCUCUGCUAAGAGCCUGGGUUAAAUAUCAACACUCCCUAUGCCUCAGUCCUGUGAAAUGGGGAUCAGGUAUCUCUUCCAGCCAGCAGUUCCCUUCACUCAGUGUUUUACUCCUCAGGCUGUUUUCACAAUGCUGAACCUGCGUGUGGCUAUAGCCCCUCAUCAUCAUCAUAACAUGCAUAAUAAAUAAAGCAAUACAGAAACUGUAAA
Long non-coding RNA from Columba livia (rock pigeon), 6168 nucleotides. RefSeq lists it as uncharacterized. The record is from RefSeq and is a predicted model, not a curated record. NCBI's taxonomy places the organism in Eukaryota, Metazoa, Chordata, Aves, Columbiformes, Columbidae. The transcript is spliced from 2 exons.